AUUGAACGCUGGCGGCAGGCCUAACACAUGCAAGUCGAACGAGUGGCGGACGGGUGAGUAAUGUCUGGGAAACUGCUUGAUGGAGGGGGAUAAUUACUGGAAACGGUAGCUAAUCCCGAAUACUAUCCGAUGUACCUAGACGUGAUUAGAUAGUAGGUGGGGUAAAGGCUCACAAUGGCGACGAUCCCUAGCUGGUGUGAGAGGAGUACCAGCCAAAUGGGAACUGGAACACGGGCCAGACUCCAACGGUAGGCAGCAGAGGGGAAUAUUGCACAAUGGGGGCGAUCCUGAUGCAGAAUGGCCGCGGGUAUGACGAAGGCCUUCGGAUUGUAAAGUACUUUCAGCGAGAAGGCGGUACCCGCAGAAUAAGCACCGGCUAACUCCGUGCCAGCAGCCGCGGUAAUAC
RNAcentral lists this ribosomal RNA (406 nucleotides) under uncultured bacterium. Its description in RNAcentral is "partial 16S ribosomal RNA". It matches the Rfam family "Bacterial small subunit ribosomal RNA", at positions 30 to 526 of the family's 1533-position model. The record is from RNAcentral.